Molecule: ribosomal RNA, 1347 nt
Filed under: uncultured bacterium
Lineage: Bacteria
Description: bacterial SSU rRNA
Rfam family: Bacterial small subunit ribosomal RNA
Source: RNAcentral
GACGAACGCUGGCGGCGUGCUUAACACAUGCAAGUCGAACGAUGAAGCCUAGCUUGCUAGGUGGAUUAGUGGCGAACGGGUGAGUAAUACGUGAGUAACCUACCUUUAACUCUGGGAUAAGCCUGGGAAACUGGGUCUAAUACCGGAUACGACCAAUCUCCGCAUGGGGUGUUGGUGGAAAGCGUUAUGUAGUGGUUAUAGAUGGGCUCACGGCCUAUCAGCUUGUUGGUGAGGUAACGGCUCACCAAGGCGACGACGGGUAGCCGGCCUGAGAGGGUGACCGGCCACACUGGGACUGAGACACGGCCCAGACUCCUACGGGAGGCAGCAGUGGGGAAUAUUGCACAAUGGGCGCAAGCCUGAUGCAGCGACGCCGCGUGAGGGAUGACGGCCUUCGGGUUGUAAACCUCUGUUAGCAGGGAAGAAGAGAGAUUGACGGUACCUGCAGAGAAAGCGCCGGCUAACUACGUGCCAGCAGCCGCGGUAAUACGUAGGGCGCGAGCGUUGUCCGGAAUUAUUGGGCGUAAAGACUUGUAGGCGGUUUGUCGCGUCUGCUGUGAAAGGCCGGAGCUUAACUCCGUGUAUUGCAGUGGGUACGGGCAGACUAGAGUGCAGUAGGGGAGACUGGAAUUCCUGGUGUAGCGGUGGAAUGCGCAGAUAUCAGGAGGAACACCGAUGGCGAAGGCAGGUCUCUGGGCUGUAACUGACGCUGAGAAGCGAAAGCAUGGGGAGCGAACAGGAUUAGAUACCCUGGUAGUCCAUGCCGUAAACGUUGGGCACUAGGUGUGGGGAACAUUCCACGUUUUCCGCGCCGUAGCUAACGCAUUAAGUGCCCCGCCUGGGGAGUACGGCCGCAAGGCUAAAACUCAAAGAAAUUGACGGGGGCCCGCACAAGCGGCGGAGCAUGCGGAUUAAUUCGAUGCAACGCGAAGAACCUUACCAAGGCUUGACAUAUACUGGACCGCAUCAGAGAUGGUGUUUCCCUUCGGGGCUGGUAUACAGGUGGUGCAUGGUUGUCGUCAGCUCGUGUCGUGAGAUGUUGGGUUAAGUCCCGCAACGAGCGCAACCCUCGUUCUAUGUUGCCAGCACGUUAUGGUGGGGACUCAUAGGAGACUGCCGGGGUCAACUCGGAGGAAGGUGGGGAUGACGUCAAAUCAUCAUGCCCCUUAUGUCUUGGGCUUCACGCAUGCUACAAUGGCCGGUACAGAGGGUUGCGAUACUGUGAGGUGGAGCUAAUCCCUAAAAGCCGGUCUCAGUUCGGAUUGGGGUCUGCGACUCGACCCCAUGAAGUCGGAGUCGCUAGUAAUCGCAGAUCAGCAACGCUGCGGUGAAUACGUUCCCGGGCCU